AUCAAAAGCACUUUGAAAAGAGGGUGAAAAGAACCUGAAACCGUUACGAGGGAAGCGUAUUGCGUUGAAUUGGUGGCUAUGUUUGUGUUCAGCCGUCCGGUGUAUUCACAAUCUAGUUAUCCGUCGUGCCUUUCCUGGGGCUGAUUAUGAGCUCCGGGAGGGGGAGGGAUCCCCUUUAUGGGUGUGAGGACGAUGGAGUGCCAACGCGAUGCGACCCGUCUUGAAACACGGACCAAGGAGUCUAACACAGUUGCGAGUCGAAGGGUGGAAAAACCUGUAGGCGCAGUGAAAGCGAACUUUCCAGAACUGGCAGUUUGUGGCGGCAUAAAAUCGUUGAUUCUAGGUCCGACCUAGAGCAGUUGUGUUAGGACCCGAAAGAUGGUGAACUAUGCUUGAGUAGAGUGAAGGCAGAAGAAAUUCUGCUGGAGGCUCGAAGCGGUGCUGACGUGCAAAUCGCUCGUCGAACUCGAGUAUAGGGGCGAAAGACUAAUCGAACCAUCUAGUAGCUGGUUCCCUCCGAAGUUUCUCUCAGGAUAGCGGGCCGACACUUAUUGUUUUGUGC
RNAcentral lists this ribosomal RNA (562 nucleotides) under Webervanbossea tasmanensis. RNAcentral describes it as "partial 28S ribosomal RNA". It matches the Rfam family "Eukaryotic large subunit ribosomal RNA", at positions 364 to 1006 of the family's 3401-position model. The record is from RNAcentral. Lineage: Eukaryota; Rhodophyta; Florideophyceae; Rhodymeniales; Faucheaceae.